This 541-nucleotide long non-coding RNA is filed under the name Homo sapiens (human). RNAcentral's name for it is "LHRI_LNC1864.1". The record is from RNAcentral. Lineage: Eukaryota; Metazoa; Chordata; Mammalia; Primates; Hominidae.
CUGCUGUUACUGGAGUGCUAGCAUCAUCUCUCUCCCCUAAAGUACACUGACAGCCUCCUCACUGACCUACUUGCUUCCAGAUCACCCCUUCUAAUCCUGUCUCCACUCUGCAGCCAGAGAAUGUUUAAACCUAACCACAUCCCUGCCCUGCUUGACCCCCAUUGUGUGCAACAGAGGUACCACAAGGUAUUCAGGACUUUCCACCAUCUUAUCCUUGCUAGCGAUCCAGCCACCUUCCAACUCCAAGCCCCUAUUUCCGAAGGGCCUUGGCUCCAUUCCUCCAUUCUGUGAACAUGCCAUGUUCAUGUUCUUUCUGCACCACCCUUCCCUCUUUCACUUCUCUAGUUAGCCUGUGUUCACCCUUUAAGGCCUAGCUCGAUACGUCCUUCUUGGUGAAAUCUUCCUCAUCCCCAUAGACAGAUUUAGAGGCUCCUUCCUCUGGGUUCCCAAGCCCCCUGGCACAGGAUCUCUUGUGCUGUGCUGCAGCCAAUUCUAUGACUGUGUUCUCUGCUCCGUUUUGAGUUCCUAGAGGAAAGGGAUG